Lingula anatina is the source of this 267-nucleotide long non-coding RNA. NCBI's taxonomy places the organism in Eukaryota, Metazoa, Brachiopoda, Lingulata, Lingulida, Lingulidae. The record is from RefSeq and is a predicted model, not a curated record.
CGACGGUACAUACUUAAGUCCAAGAGAACUCGCAAUGCCCCAUGCGGCCCUGUACUGGUGCAUGGAGGACAUAAUUUUGACAUGGCGGGCACAUACAUUGCUAUAGAAGAGAGCCUGGACAGAAUGGAAGACACCAAAAGCGUCCAGAUAUUUAACUUUGUAUUACAUCUUAGAAAGAAAAAUCCUAGGAUGGUGGAAACGCUUCAAAGUUACCAACUUAUCUACCAAACCGUUAUCUUGCAUACUCUCUGUGAUGAAACUUCUCUG